This 447-nucleotide ribosomal RNA is filed under the name uncultured bacterium. RNAcentral's name for it is "bacterial SSU rRNA". It matches the Rfam family "Bacterial small subunit ribosomal RNA", at positions 36 to 476 of the family's 1533-position model. The record is from RNAcentral.
GGAAUUCGAUUCAGGCCUAACACAUGCAAGUCGAACGGUAACAGGUCUUCGGAUGCUGACGAGUGGCGAACGGGUGAGUAAUGCAUCGGAACGUGCCCAGUUGUGGGGGAUAACUGCUCGAAAGAGCAGCUAAUACCGCAUACGACCUGAGGGUGAAAGCGGGGGAUCGCAAGACCUCGCGCAAUUGGAGCGGCCGAUGUCAGAUUAGGUAGUUGGUGGGGUAAAGGCCUACCAAGCCGACGAUCUGUAGUUGGUCUGAGAGGACGACCAGCCACACUGGGACUGAGACACGGCCCAGACUCCUACGGGAGGCAGCAGUGGGGAAUUUUGGACAAUGGGCGCAAGCCUGAUCCAGCAAAGCCGCGUGCAGGAAGAAGGCCUUCGGGUUGUAAUUAGAUGGUGUCAGGGAAGAAAUCCUCUGGGUUAAUACCCCGGGGGGAUGACGGU